GCUUCCCCUUCUGAGAUGCUUUUCCAGUCCUCAGAAUGCACCACUUCCAAGUUGCAGGCUUAUGCUUUAACUUCUUUUGGGGCUUUCAGAAAAUCUUCCCAUUAAAGACAUAAAUGAAGCUUGUCCCACAUGGAUUUUUAGAUGGAAAGUUAAGAUUCAACUGAGAUGAUAAUCAAAUAUUGAUUCCUGAAAUGUAUAACCCUGCAUGGACAGCCUAAGUAAAUGGGUUCUGCUUGUGGGAACUAUGUAGGAGUUUGGGGGAUGAAAUCCUUCAUCCUGGGGACAGGCUGAGAAACAGCAGGGCAGCCCCACUGCUACCAUUACUGCAGCUUCUUCACAGCAGUGGUGUCUG
Molecule: long non-coding RNA, 352 nt
Organism: Mauremys reevesii (Reeves's turtle)
Lineage: Eukaryota; Metazoa; Chordata; Testudines; Geoemydidae
Exons: 3
Source: RefSeq, a predicted model, not a curated record